Setaria italica (foxtail millet) is the source of this 419-nucleotide long non-coding RNA. RefSeq lists it as uncharacterized. Lineage: Eukaryota; Viridiplantae; Streptophyta; Magnoliopsida; Poales; Poaceae. The transcript has 3 exons. The record is from RefSeq and is a predicted model, not a curated record.
GCGACCGGAUUGGCGCAGAAGAACUGACACGAGAUGUGUCAAUUUUCAGGACACCAAAACCGGCCCUUGCAGCCAUCCUCUCCGCAAGACCUCCAUGUGAGGUUGAUUCCUGAUUUGCCCUAAAAAGUGGUUUGCUGCUGCCAUUGUCACUGAAGAUGCUGGAGAAUGGACAAGAGCUGAAUUCUUCGUUCAAGAAGCUUGACAUCACUGUUCUUGGGCUGGGUGAAGGAAGCAUCCAAUCCUCCAUCAAUGCUCUGCGGUUGUCAGUUCCGGCCAUGCUGGCGAGGUGUUUCUUAUCAGCUGCGCAAAGGAAAAGCAGGGUGCCACACAUGGAACAUGAUAGCAUAGCUGGAAAUAGAAACAGAAUUGACUGAAGAUCCAAGCACUCAUUUAACAUAUAAACACAUGAGCUCAGGAUA